GACGAACGCUGGCGGCGUGCUUAACACAUGCAAGUCGAGCGGUAAGGCCCUUUCGGGGGUACACGAGCGGCGAACGGGUGAGUAACACGUGGGUGACCUGCCCUCAGCUCUGGGAUAAGCCUGGGAAGCUGGGUCUAAUACUGGAUAUGACUCCACGGUGCAUGUCGUGGGGUGGAAAGCCUUGUGCGGCUGAGGAUGGGCCCGCGGCCUAUCAGCUUGUUGGUGGGGUGAUGGCCUACCAAGGCGACGACGGGUAGCCGGCCUGAGAGGGCGACCGGCCACACUGGGACUGAGACACGGCCCAGACUCCUACGGGAGGCAGCAGUGGGGAAUCUUGCGCAAUGGGCGAAAGCCUGACGCAGCGACGCCGCGUGAGGGAUGACGGCCUCGG
Molecule: ribosomal RNA, 391 nt
Filed under: uncultured bacterium
Lineage: Bacteria
Description: bacterial SSU rRNA
Rfam family: Bacterial small subunit ribosomal RNA
Source: RNAcentral